Molecule: ribosomal RNA, 395 nt
Filed under: uncultured archaeon
Lineage: Archaea
Description: bacterial SSU rRNA
Rfam family: Archaeal small subunit ribosomal RNA
Source: RNAcentral
CGCGAAAACUUUACAAUGCGGGAAACCGUGAUAAGGGAACACUGAUUGCUAGCAUUUAUGUUAGCUGUCCACAUGUGUAAAUAGCAUGUGAUAGCAAGGGCUGGGCAAGACCGGUGCCAGCCGCCGCGGUAACACCUGGCAGCCCGAGUGGUGAUCACUAUUAUUGGGUCUAAAGGGUCCGUAGCCGGUUUAAUCAGUCUUCUGGGAAAUCUACUCGCUUAACUAUUAGGCUUCCAGGGGAUACUGUUAGACUUGGGACCGGGAGAGGUAAGAGGUACUGCAGGGGUAGGAGUGAAAUCUUGUAAUCCCUGUGAGACCACCAGUGGCGAAGGCGUCUUACCAGAACGGGUCCGACGGUGAGGGACGAAAGCUGGGGGCACGAACCGGAUUAGAUA